This 322-nucleotide ribosomal RNA is filed under the name uncultured Chloroflexota bacterium. RNAcentral describes it as "bacterial SSU rRNA". It matches the Rfam family "Bacterial small subunit ribosomal RNA", at positions 28 to 351 of the family's 1533-position model. Lineage: Bacteria; Bacillati; Chloroflexota. The record is from RNAcentral.
GAUGAACGCUGGCGGCGUGCUUAAUACAUGCAAGUCGAACGAGGGUUUCAGCAAUGGGAUCCGAGUGGCGAACGGGUGAGUAACGCGUUGGUGACCUGCCCCGAAGAGAGGGAUAACAGACCGAAAGGUUUGCUAAUACCUCAUGUGGUCAUAAGGGUUAGAGGCCUUAUGUCUAAAGGAGUAAUCCGCUUCGGGAGGGGCCUGCGUCCCAUCAGCUAGUUGGUAGGGUAAUGGCCUACCAAGGCGACGACGGGUAGGGGACCUGAGAGGGUGGCCCCCCACACUGGCACUGAAACACGGGCCAGACACCUACGGGUGGCAG